AGGUUAUCAGCUUCCUUACCUUGGCGCUGUGGUGUUAUUCCCCAGGCAACAUACAGAGGAAACAGGAAGCUAGCUUCUCUUCCCCAGUUCCCAGUGAUGAGACGCUAACCAGCAGCACGGACAGAGACAACGGCAACUAUCUGCCCCGCUGGCACCGGGAGCCACUUUCUCUUCCGACAAAGUCACGCUACGGAGUGAAGCAGGGAGGGCGGGUCCUGAUAAACCGAUAACCACCGCUUUGGUUCAACUGUAGCCUACAUGUUCCUGGAACUGCUUAACAACAUGGACUGGAGCAAGAGAGUGUGCCAACAUUUCAACUCAUACCUCUGAAACAUGACAUGGAGCCCCAACUAGAGGCCACAAGCAGAAAAGUUUGGGAACCACUGGUUUAAGAUAAAUUUUGAAAUCUUAUAAUAUGUUUUAAUGAUUAUGUUUUAACUAUGACUAUACAAGAAAUGUACUUGAAGUAUUGUAAUGGAGUGAGAGUAUAAAAUAUCAUCAAAUGUAAAUACAUAAGUAAAGUACAAGUAGAUUGUGCUUAAGUACAGUACUUUGAUGAAUGUUCUUUGUUACUUUCCACCACUGAUUAUGUUUUGACAGGAAAACAGGCACAUAUAGCACAUCUUUUAAUCUGCUAAAACCACUUUCUAAUUAGUAACACUGUAAUAGGUUUAUAAGUUGUAUUAUAAUUUUAUUAAUUGUCAAAAGACAUAGAUAAGUGCCUCCUUUGGGUUGCCAGGUUGUGAAAAAUCCAUUUAGCAGAACCAGCAGUGUGACACUCAAGCAGACCACUCUUGUAAAAUUCAUUUAUUAACAGCUUAUUAACAUUCAAAACUGCAGAAUUGAUGGAUUGUUAGAAAGUGAUGAGUAAUGACCCUUUAUUCAUGAUGUAUCAACAUUUUUAACUUAGGUAGCUUAUUAGACAUUUACAUUAUUCCUGAAUAAAAGAUUCGGAAAUGAUAAAGACUUUUUUUUUUUUUACAACCUAACAACCCUAAAGUUGUUCUUAUAAAAGUGAUAUAACUAAUCGUUAGCAUUAGUAUAUUAAUUAUUAACCACUAAUAAACCCCUAUCCCAUAAAGCCUUUUAAUGGCUUAUUUAUUCGAAUUACGUAGUACCACUAAGUGGAAAUAUUUGAUAUGAAUAUCCAGUCAUACACCAC
This is a long non-coding RNA of Micropterus dolomieu (smallmouth bass), 1162 nucleotides long. RefSeq lists it as uncharacterized. Lineage: Eukaryota; Metazoa; Chordata; Actinopteri; Centrarchiformes; Centrarchidae. The record is from RefSeq and is a predicted model, not a curated record. The transcript is spliced from 3 exons.